UACGGGGGGGGCAAGCGUUGUUCGGAAUUACUGGGCGUAAAGGGCUCGUAGGCGGCCAACUAAGUCAGACGUGAAAUCUCUCGGCUUAACCGGGGAACUGCGUCUGAUACUGGAUGGCUUGAGUUCGGGAGAGGGAUGUGGAAUUCCAGGUGUAGCGGUGAAAUGCGUAGAUAUCUGGAGGAACACCGGUGGCGAAGGCGGCAUCCUGGACCGACACUGACGCUGAUGAGCGAAAGCCAGGGGAGCAAACGGG
This 253-nucleotide ribosomal RNA is filed under the name uncultured bacterium. RNAcentral's name for it is "partial 16S ribosomal RNA". It matches the Rfam family "Bacterial small subunit ribosomal RNA", at positions 524 to 776 of the family's 1533-position model. The record is from RNAcentral.